GAUGAACGCUGGCGGCGUGCCUAAUACAUGCAAGUCGAGCGAACAGACGAGGAGCUUGCUCCUCUGACGUUAGCGGCGGACGGGUGAGUAACACGUGGAUAACCUACCUAUAAGACUGGGAUAACUUCGGGAAACCGGAGCUAAUACCGGAUAAUAUAUUGAACCGCAUGGUUCAAUAGUGAAAGACGGUUUUGCUGUCACUUAUAGAUGGAUCCGCGCCGCAUUAGCUAGUUGGUAAGGUAACGGCUUACCAAGGCAACGAUGCGUAGCCGACCUGAGAGGGUGAUCGGCCACACUGGAACUGAGACACGGUCCAGACUCCUACGGGAGGCAGCAGUAGGGAAUCUUCCGCAAUGGGCGAAAGCUUGACGGAGCAACGCCGCGUGAGUGAUGAAGGUCUUUGGAUCGUAAAACUCUGUUAUUAGGGAAGAACAAAUGUGUAAGUAACUAUGCACGUCUUGACGGUACCUAAUCAGAAAGCCACGGCUAACUACGUG
RNAcentral lists this ribosomal RNA (497 nucleotides) under uncultured bacterium. RNAcentral describes it as "partial 16S ribosomal RNA". It matches the Rfam family "Bacterial small subunit ribosomal RNA", at positions 28 to 507 of the family's 1533-position model. The record is from RNAcentral.